GGUCCUGGGGUGUCAGCACGUGAAGUUGCAAACUUCAAGAAGCAGAGUAGUUUCUGCCGGGGCUU
Molecule: transfer RNA, 65 nt
Filed under: Mantella baroni
Lineage: Eukaryota; Metazoa; Chordata; Amphibia; Anura; Mantellidae
Description: tRNA-Cys
Source: RNAcentral